GUGAAUCAUCAAAUUUUUGAACGCAAAUUGCACUCUCUUCGGAGAGUAUGCCUGUUUGAGGGUCAGCCUAAAAAAAAUCGUACAUCAUUGAUGUUGCGGAUCUGGGUAUUCCGAUUUUAUAAUUGGUUACCUAAAAUUAAUAUGGUUAUGUAAUGUGAAGCGUACUAAUUAUAUAGUCGCUAAUCAUUUAUACUUAUAUUACAACUAUACGAAAGUAUAUGGUUGGUGUAUAAAUUAUGAGAAUGACCUCAAGUCAUGUGAGAGUACCCGCUGAACUUAAGCAUAUCAAUAAGCGGAGGA
Molecule: unclassified non-coding RNA, 300 nt
Filed under: Gigaspora margarita
Lineage: Eukaryota; Fungi; Glomeromycota; Glomeromycetes; Diversisporales; Gigasporaceae
Description: partial contains 5.8S ribosomal RNA, internal transcribed spacer 2, and large subunit ribosomal RNA
Rfam family: Eukaryotic large subunit ribosomal RNA (bases 244-300)
Source: RNAcentral